RNAcentral lists this ribosomal RNA (492 nucleotides) under uncultured bacterium. RNAcentral's name for it is "partial 16S ribosomal RNA". It matches the Rfam family "Bacterial small subunit ribosomal RNA", at positions 30 to 507 of the family's 1533-position model. The record is from RNAcentral.
AGUGAACGCUGGCGGUAGGCCUAACACAUGCAAGUCGAACGGCAGCACAGUAAGAGCUUGCUCUUACGGGUGGCGAGUGGCGGACGGGUGAGGAAUACAACGGAAUCUACUUUUUCGGGGGGGAUAACGUAGGGAAACUUACGCUAAUACCGCAUACGACCUACGGGGGAAAGCAGGGGAUCUUCGGACCUGGCGCGAAUGAAUGAGCCGAUGUCGGAUUAGCUAGUGGGCGGGGUAAAGGCCCACCAAGUCGACGAUCCGUAGCUGGUCUGAGAGGAGGGUCGGCCACACUGGAACUGAGACACGGUCCAGGCUCCUACGGGAGGCAGCAGUGGGGAAUAGUGGGCAAUGGGGGCAAGCCUGAUCCAGCCAUCGCGCGUGUGUGAAGGCGGCCUUCGGGUUGUGAAGCCCGUUUGUGGGGAAAGAACAGCAGCAGGUUAAGACGCCGCGGGUGUGACGGUACCCGAAGAAUAAGCACCGGCUAACUUCGUG